RNAcentral lists this ribosomal RNA (253 nucleotides) under uncultured bacterium. Its description in RNAcentral is "partial 16S ribosomal RNA". It matches the Rfam family "Bacterial small subunit ribosomal RNA", at positions 524 to 776 of the family's 1533-position model. The record is from RNAcentral.
UACAGAGGUCCCAAGCGUUGUUCGGAUUCACUGGGCGUAAAGGGUGCGUAGGUGGUGAGGUAAGUCGGAUGUGAAAUCUCCGAGCUCAACUCGGAAAUGGCAUUGGAAACUACCUUGCUCGAGGGUUGGAGGGGGGACUGGAAUGCUUGGUGUAGCAGUGAAAUGCGUAGAUAUCAAGUGGAACACCAGUGGCGAAGGCGAGUCUCUGGACAUUUCCUGACGCUGAGGCACGAAAGCCAGGGGAGCAAACGGG